Molecule: ribosomal RNA, 468 nt
Filed under: uncultured bacterium
Lineage: Bacteria
Description: partial 16S ribosomal RNA
Rfam family: Bacterial small subunit ribosomal RNA
Source: RNAcentral
GACGAACGCUGGCGGCGUGCUUAACACAUGCAAGUCGAACGGAAAGGCCCUGCUUUUGUGGGGUGCUCGAGUGGCGAACGGGUGAGUAACACGUGAGUAACCUGCCCUUGACUUUGGGAUAACUUCAGGAAACUGGGGCUAAUACCGGAUAGGAGCUCCUGCUGCAUGGUGGGGGUUGGAAAGUUUCGGCGGUUGGGGAUGGACUCGCGGCUUAUCAGCUUGUUGGUGGGGUAGUGGCUUACCAAGGCUUUGACGGGUAGCCGGCCUGGGAGGGUGACCGGCCACAAUGGGCCUGAGAUACGGCCCAGAAUCGUACGGGAGGCAGCAGUGGGGAAUAUUGCACAAUGGGCGGAAGCCUGAUGCAGCAACGCCGCGUGCGGGAUGACGGCCUUCGGGUUGUAAACCGCUUUCGCCUGUGACGAAGCGUGAGUGACGGUAAUGGGUAAAGAAGCACCGGCUAACUACGUG